This is a long non-coding RNA of Lutra lutra (Eurasian river otter), 772 nucleotides long. RefSeq lists it as uncharacterized. NCBI's taxonomy places the organism in Eukaryota, Metazoa, Chordata, Mammalia, Carnivora, Mustelidae. The record is from RefSeq and is a predicted model, not a curated record. The transcript is spliced from 3 exons.
ACAAUAAGAGCAAGACCUAGAGCCGGAGCUAAAGGAGGAGUGAGAAAGACAUGCCAAGAAGAGAGAAACGAAGAGAUGGCCUUCAAUAUUUCUGAGUCUGACAGAGGAGACAGCAAAAAGACACUGAAAGAAGCAAUGGCGUGGAAUUUUUUACAGCAAUUUUUUACAGCAAUGGCGUGGAAUUUGAGAAACAACUAAGGAAAAAUUCAAGGAUACUUAAUUUUAGCAGAAAGAGCUGAUAAUUAUCAAGAGUCCAAAUCUUCUACUCAACAAGUAGAAGGAUCUUGAUACAAAUACUGCCAAGCAGCUUAGGGGCUGUUUCAAAUCUUCAGAUACAUCCUGCAAUUCAGAUUAAUAUUUUAAUACCAAACAUCAUUACAGAGAAGACUCACAAAAUAGCAAGAAUACCGUUAUUAUGGAUUGAUUUCACUGAAGGAAAUGAAAAUCAAGACUGAAGAAAUACAAGAAGUGGCCAGGGAAUAUCUAUUUUAAACUGACUGUUCUAACAAUUUGGCGUUAGAUGUCAUGUUCUUGUAUAUCCACAUUAAUGCUAGUAAUUUGUCAUUACAUCAGGAAAGAACACCAAGUGUGCUUAUUUUUAUGAUAUUGCCUAUCAUAAAUUCAUAAAAUCAUAUUCAUAAUUCAUAAUACCAUAAACCCAUAUUUUUAUGAUUUGCCUAUUUUUAUGAUAUUGUAAUGGUGAUAUGAUAUCACCAUUACACAUUCUCAUGAUCACUAGUUUUGUUUAAUUUCAUUUGGAUUAAACUGAUGU